Long non-coding RNA from Scophthalmus maximus (turbot), 1870 nucleotides. NCBI's taxonomy places the organism in Eukaryota, Metazoa, Chordata, Actinopteri, Pleuronectiformes, Scophthalmidae. The record is from Ensembl.
CCGUGGUUAUGGGUCCACUAAAUAACACUUUAGCCUGCGCGCCCCAAGGAUUGCAGCUCCACGGGGCUCCCCGGAGCAACACCAGGAAGCUUUUCAAAGGUGCCAUUUGUAAGUGUGUGUUUCUGCCACAUACCCAAACGUUGGCUUUAGCGGAUGUUGACUUACCAAUUUUGCAGAAGUGUUUCAAGUUUGGCAUCAAAUUUCAUUCCUACUGCUAAGCGUGCUUCUUAAAACAUUUAUUUUUUUUUAUCUGAAAGCUUUUAUGAAUGUUUGACUCGUGCCUUUUCACUGUUGUGUUUUGAUUUCAUUUUAUUCUCCUCUGUUUUGUGUUUUCCAUUUUCUUUCUUUUUCCGGUAUAAUAUAUAAUAUAUAUAUAUAUAUAUAUAUAUAUAUAUAUAUAUAUAUACAGUUGGGUCAUGUUUUGCCCGCGUAAAAAAAAAAAAAAAAAGUCUCUCGCAACAACACCACACUCGAAACCUCUUUUAUUUGAGAAGACACGACACAAUGUGUCCAGACGGCCGUCACACAGAUGAGUGUUUGACACUGACGUCCACGAGUGCUGCCUGCAGUCUCACCCAUCACACGCACACAAGAAUAGAUAUACAAACGCUGCUCUAUUUCAAAACUUUAUAUAAACAGGGAAUACAUAUUAAGGUGUUCCGCAGUAAAGAUAUUGGCACUCACAGUAUUUACUUACUUUCUAAUAAUACACUGUACAUUUUACAAGAUUACGCCAGCCUUGCAUUUAUCUUUUUUUAAACCAUGUCACAACCUUUUGCACCAGGACAGUAAAGGAAUUGUGCAAGCCUGUAAAGCAAACUAAAAUACAACAGAUAGCUGUCCACACUUGUAAACAUUCAUUCAUAGUUUCCGAAACCAAUAUGUUCAACUUCUGGGUCAAAGAUGAAGUCUCAGAAUGUGGACACAGACACAGAAGCUGCCCCACGUGUCCAACAUUUCGACACAGUCUCUUCUUCAUCUGCUAAACCUCGGCAACACUCACCGCAGCACUAUUUUGAAAACUGACCCUUUUUUUUUUUUUGCGUGGCUGACUCAUGUUCGAAGCCGUUGUUUUACACACACACGCGCACACACACACACACACACUCAAACACGUGACAACAACAACAAAACAAAUAUGACAAAAAGAGGCAUUCCUUGUUAUAUCAGCACACAAGGCAAAAAUUUAAUCUUUGGUUUUAUGUCCCUGAUAUGAAUUUUCACCUUUGCCUAUGCCUCGUGGUCAAAAAUGUUAAGAAUAAAAAAAAUAUAAUAGGGUUUGAAUUCCAGUUUAUUUCCAAAAUGAUCUCCUAAGAAGUUUCCCCGGAAAGAGACAUUAAAUUAGGUGCCACUUAAUUCAUUCCAUUAACCUUCCUCUGCACGGAAAGUCAAUAAUUACACCAACUCAACAAAAAAAAAACACGUUGCCUCAACUCGUUUAUCCCCUCAACUAGUAUAAAAACCACUCGUUUCUCUCCAGGGAUCGUUCAAUAACUUAUCAGGAAAUAACGGAGCCAGUUCAAAUAAAAACAGGAGCGUGAGGACGAGACUUUUGGACAAGGAAGGCAGGGAUGAGAGGAUGAGAGGAUGAGAGGAGGAGAGGAGGAGAGGAUGAGAGGAGGAGAGGAUGAGAGGAUGAGAGGAGGAGAGGAUGAGAGGAGGAGAGGAGGAGAGGAUGAGAGGAUGAGAGGAUGACAGGAGGAGAGGAUGAGAGGAGGAGAGGAGGAGAGGAGGAGAAGAUGAGAGGAGGAGAGGAUGAGAGGAGGAGAGGAUGAGAGGAUGAGAGGAUGACAGGAGGAGAGGAUGAGAAGAUGAGAGGAGGAGAGGAGGAGAGGAUGAGAGGAGGAGAGGAGGAGAGGAUGAGAGGAGG